UGCCUCUUUGCUGGGACUUUGAGGGC
This 26-nucleotide non-coding RNA is filed under the name Rattus norvegicus (Norway rat). The record is from RNAcentral. Lineage: Eukaryota; Metazoa; Chordata; Mammalia; Rodentia; Muridae.